This 491-nucleotide ribosomal RNA is filed under the name uncultured bacterium. RNAcentral describes it as "partial 16S ribosomal RNA". It matches the Rfam family "Bacterial small subunit ribosomal RNA", at positions 29 to 507 of the family's 1533-position model. The record is from RNAcentral.
GCGAACGCUGGCGGUAGGCCUAACACAUGCAAGUCGCACGGCAGCACAGUAAGAGCUUGCUCUUACGGGUGGCGAGUGGCGGACGGGUGAGGAAUACAUCGGAAUCUACUUUUUCGUGGGGGAUAACGUAGGGAAACUUACGCUAAUACCGCAUACGACCUACGGGUGAAAGCAGGGGAUCUUCGGACCUUGCGCGAUUGAAUGAGCCGAUGUCGGAUUAGCUAGUUGGCGGGGUAAAGGCCCACCAAGGCGACGAUCCGUAGCUGGUCUGAGAGGAUGAUCAGCCACACUGGAACUGAGACACGGUCCAGACUCCUACGGGAGGCAGCAGUGGGGAAUAUUGGACAAUGGGCGCAAGCCUGAUCCAGCCAUACCGCGUGGGUGAAGAAGGCCUUCGGGUUGUAAAGCCCUUUUGUUGGGAAAGAAAAGCAGCAGGUUAAUACCCCGCUGUUCUGACGGUACCCAAAGAAUAAGCACCGGCUAACUUCGUG